This 230-nucleotide long non-coding RNA is filed under the name Mytilus galloprovincialis (Mediterranean mussel). Lineage: Eukaryota; Metazoa; Mollusca; Bivalvia; Mytilida; Mytilidae. The record is from RNAcentral.
UUUUUCAAAGAAACUUAACUACAAAAACAUGUAUAUUGGCUUAAUAUUAAUAGUCCAAGCAUUUUAACAACUGUCAAAUUUUAAUGAACAGACUCUUUCAACAAUAGUCAUGAUAGUAUUUAAUUAACUACCAGUAUUAAUGUUGAACUUCUAGAUGUCAUGUUUAGAAAUAAAAAAAACUGAGCUCAUACAUAUUAUAUUUAGGCAGCAACCAUUUGAUUUUCUGGGGG